Long non-coding RNA from Brassica rapa (field mustard), 2010 nucleotides. RefSeq lists it as uncharacterized. NCBI's taxonomy places the organism in Eukaryota, Viridiplantae, Streptophyta, Magnoliopsida, Brassicales, Brassicaceae. The record is from RefSeq and is a predicted model, not a curated record.
UCUUGGCCAUGGCUACCUUGGCAUUUGCCAUGGAUCCAUAGGUCUGUAAAAAAAUUUAGUGUUAUUUUAAAAACCCAUUUUAAUCUGUUAAUUUAUGAUAAAGGCCCAAAAAUUAAUUAAACCUAAUUAGUUAACCUAAUUUAUAAAACAACAAAAAGUCUGUACUCUCACCUUUAAAAUUUUCCCGUUGACAAAAGAAAAAAAAAACUCUAGAACCGAAGCGGUGACCAUUAGGCGUUAACAACACAAAUCACAAACCAAAAAUCAUAUUCUAUUCAUCGAUCUGUUAGUGGAAUCCCUUUCCAUAGAGGUAUGUUUAAUCAAUUAUAUUUGUGUCUUAGUUUAUUGUUUCAGAUUUUUAUUUUAUUACUAUUUCUAAACCCAAACUUUUAUGCAGUUCUAAAAUUUUCUUUGGUGGGUCUCGUUAAAUGUUUGGGCACAUCAAAUCCAGGUGACUUUGUUCUUUUAUUUUAAAAAGAGAUGGUGUGUGGAAAUGAUCAGAGAAAAAAAAAACAUGAUGAACAAUUCGUAGAAUCCCAAAGAGGAGCUUUAGAUAAACUUAUUAAGAAAAAAAACACAAAUAGUGAGAGUUUUAGAGCAUAAACUAAUGUUGAAUCUCAUGAAAAAGAGUCAAAUCCCUCUAUUGAGAAUAUUGACACUGAUGAGCCACCAAUUCUUCCUUUUGAUAUCUAUGAUCCUAGAAAUUGGAAUAAUCUUGAUAGUAAAACAAAAGAUUUGUUGAUUAAAAAAAACCAAAAAGAGACAUGAAUCUUGAAUUUCCUAUUGAUGAAAAAACAAAAAGACAUUUUGCAUAUAGGCAUUAUUUUAGAAAGUUGUGUAAUGGGAAGACAGUUGAUAGAAAAUGGUUAAUUUACUCAAAACAUGUUGAUAAAGUUUAUUGUUUCCGUUGCAAGUUGUUUAAAUCUCAUGGAAAAAUAAAUUUAUUAGCAAAUGAAGGAUUAAGAGAUUGGAAACGUAUUGGUGAUAGACUAAAAGGUCAUGGAAAAAAGUGAGGAGCAUAUGGCUAAUAUGAGAACUUGGAAUGAAUUCAAAGUUAGAUUGCAAAGUAAUUUGACUAUCGAUAAAGAAUUUCAGUAAGAGAUUGCAAAAGAAAAAGAACGUUGGAGACAAGUUUUAUAUAGAAUAAUUGCUGUUGUGAAAUGUCUUCCAAAAAGAAAUUUAGCAUUUCGAGGAUCAAAUGGGAAACUUUAUCAAGAUAGUAAUGGUAAUUUUCUAGGAAUGAUUGAGAUGUUUGCUGAAUUUGAUGUGAUUAUACAGGAUCAUAUAAGACACAUCCAAACUCAUGAGGUACAUCACCACUAUCUUGGUCAUAACAUUCAAAACGAGCUAAUUUCUCUUCUCGCAUAUAAGGUCAGAUUUUUUAUCACAAGUGUUAUUAAAGAAGCAAAAUAUUUUUCUGUUAUCCUUGAUUGUACACCAGACGUGAGUCAUCAAGAGCAAAUGAGUAUAAUUGUACGAUGUGUGAAUACGUCAAAUAAAAAUAUUAGAAUAGAAGAGUAUUUCUUAGAGUUUCUUAAGGUGGAUAAUACAUCGGGACUAGGCCUCUUUAAUGAAUUACAAAGUGCUCUUAAGUCCCUUGAUCUUGAUAUUAAAAAUGUAAAGGGACAAGGUUAUGAUAAUGGUUCUAAUAUGAAAGGAAAACACCAAGGAGUUCAAAAACAAUUACACCGAUUCAGGUUCUUGAGUUGGUAAAAUAUAUGGGUUGUUAUCCAAAUGUUGAUAUUGCUUACCGGAUUUUACUAACAACACAUGUAAUAGUUGCAUCAGCUGAAAGAAGUUUUUCUAAGCUAAAAUUGUUAAAAAAUUAGAUCAUCAAUGUCUCAAGAAAGGUUGAACGGUUUAUCUAUUUUAUGCAUUGAAAAAGAAAUUUUGGAGAGUAUGAAUUUUGAAUUAAUUAUCAAUGAUUUUGCAUCAACUAAAGCUAGUAAAAAACAUUUCAUGUGAUUGUUUUUUCAUCUUUUAAAGAAUUGAUUCUUUUUUUUUCAGGUC